RNAcentral lists this ribosomal RNA (771 nucleotides) under uncultured bacterium. Its description in RNAcentral is "bacterial SSU rRNA". It matches the Rfam family "Bacterial small subunit ribosomal RNA", at positions 60 to 828 of the family's 1533-position model. The record is from RNAcentral.
AGUCGAACGGUUCUUUUAGUUUUUUAUGCUUAUGUGUAUUAAACUUAAAGAAUAGUGGCAAACGGGUGAGUAACGCGUAGAUAAUCUACCUCGAAGAUGGGGAUAGCUCGCCGAAAGGCGGGGUAAUACCCAAUAGUCUACACUCACAUAUGUGUUGUGUAGUAAAGCUCCGGCGCUUCGAGAGGAGUCUGCGUUCUAUCAGCUUGUUGGUAAGGUAAUGGCUUACCAAGGCUAAGACGGAUAGCUGGCGUGAGAGCGUGACCAGCCACAAUGGGACUGAGACAAGGCCCAUACUCCUACGGGAGGCAGCAAUUAGGAAUCUUGCACAAUGGGGGCAACCCUGAUGCAGCGACGCCGCGUGGAGGAAGAAGGUCUUCGGAUCGUAAACUCCUUUUAUGUGGGAAGAAUAACUGACGGUACCACAUGAAUAAGUACCUGCUAACUACGUGCCAGAAGCAUCGGUGAUGCGUAGGGUACGAACGUUACCCGGACUUAUUGGGCGUAAAGCGAUGCGUAGGCGUUCUCAUAAGUCUGAUGUUAAAGACUUCUGCUCAACAGAAGAAAAGCAUUGGAAACUGUGGGAAUUGAGACAGAGAGGGGUGAGUGGAAUUUCCGGUGGAGCAGUGAAAUGCGUUGAUAUCGGAAGGAACACCAGAGGCGAAGGCGACUCACUGGCUCUGUUCUGACGCUGAGGCUCGAAAGCAUGGGUAGCAAAACGGAUUAGAUACCCGUGUAGUCCAUGCUGUAAACGCUGAAUGCUAGGCGUUUGAC